Molecule: ribosomal RNA, 466 nt
Filed under: uncultured bacterium
Lineage: Bacteria
Description: partial 16S ribosomal RNA
Rfam family: Bacterial small subunit ribosomal RNA
Source: RNAcentral
GAUGAACGCUGGCGGCGUGCUUAACACAUGCAAGUCGAACGGAAAGGCCAGUUUUUGCUCUGGUACUCGAGUGGCGAACGGGUGAGAAGCACGUGGGUCAUCUGCCCUGUACUUCGGGAUAAGCGUGGUAAACUGGGUCUACUACCGGAUAUGACAGCUUGUUGGAUAUUGUUGUGGAAAGCUUUUGCGGUAUGGGUUUAGCUCGCGGCCUAUCAGCUUGUUGGUGGGGGAAUGGCCUACCAAGGCGUCGCCGGGUAGGCGGCCUGAGGGGGUGUACGGCGACAUGGCGACUAAGAUAAGGCCCAGCAGCAUACGGGAGGCAGGAGUGGGGAAUAUUGCACAAUGGGAGCAAGCCUGAUGCGGCGAUGCCGCGUGGGGGAUGAAGGCCUUCGGGUUAUAAACUGCUUUCGCUAGGGACGAAGCGGUAGUGACGGUACCUGGAGAAGAAGCACCGGCUAACUACGUG